GCUCCCCCCACCCUCCUCCUCCUCCUCCUCCUCAGCAGCCGCCGCCGGUGCCACCGCCUCCCUCCUUCCCGCCCCGCCCCACCACUGCGCAGGCGCGGCGGCUGGCCCCGCCUCUGCGCAGCCGCAGCCCCGGCCGGCCGCGCCCUCUUCACGCACGCGCAGUGCGCCUGCGCCCCGACCGAGUACCGGGCGAGCGCGGCCGCCGCGGCCCAGAGGAGCGAGCCGUUCCACGCUGGCCCGACGGAAGGGAGGCGGCGGCGGCCGGCUGCGGAGCUGCGUCCUAGAGGUGUUACAGGCAAGUCCUUGAACAGCACAUGGAGUGAGUGGCUGGUGCAAGCCUUGAACUGUUUUUCCAGAAGCUAGCGUGGUCAUGUCAGAUGAGCUCAAGUCUGGAAUCAGAAGGUACCGGCUGAGGAGUGGUGCUGUGGUAUGUGUACUUGAUGGAACUUCUGGGUCUGGGCAAGUUAAUGCCAUCCCUUUGACCAGCAGUUUUAAGAAACAGACGGAAGGGCCGGAGAGAUACUUCAGCAGUUAGGAGCACCGGCUGUUCUUCCAGAGGACCCUAACUAAAUCCUCAGCACCCACGUGGUGGCUCACAGCCGUCUGUAACUCCAGUCUCUAGAUCUGUCAUCUUCCAGCCUUGGCAGGCACUGCAGACACAUGGUAUAUAGACACAUUCAGACUAACAUUCAUACACAAAAAAUAACCUCAAAAAAAAAAAGUUUAAAUAAAGCAGAUGGAAAGAAAGACAUUUUAGGCCGGGCAGUGGUGGUGCACGCCUUUAAUCCCAGCACUUAGGAGGCAGAGGCAGGUGGACCUCUGUGAGUUCGAGGCCAGCCUGGUCUACAGAGUGAGAUCCAGGACAGCCAGGGCUACACAGAGAAACCCUGUCACCAAAAAAAAAAAAAAAAGCAAAACAAAAAAAAAACCAAAAAGAAAGUCUUAGGUUAGACUUGAGAUAAGCACCCGGUGUCUCCCCAGCCUGUGAGGCAGUGGAUCACAUCUGCAUAUCUGCUCCCAGGUCAGGAGGGUUGCCGUUUCGAAGUCCACCCCUGCAAUGCUUUUGGACAAGCCACAUAGCCCUGUCUCAGAGCCUGUUUCCUCACAGAAUAUUGUAGAUGGGAGGCUGUGUGGCCACCGAUGCUAAUCGGUCAUGCUGCAGGGACUUCAUCCUAGAACUGUUUGCUAUUCUAGACUUUAAGAAUUUCCUAGGCAGCAGCCUGAUGACGUGGCUGCUGGACACGCCAGGGAUGUAAAGCAGAAUUGGCCAUGGGAGAUGAGAUUCCCAGUUUUGCCCCAGGUGUCAUCUAGAACCCAAUAGGUGUUAAUCCCUCCAUUUAUUCUGGAACUAUUGAAUGGUUUCUUCCUAUUUAUAUACCCCAUGUUGUAAAGGAUAUUAAACUUUUUUCCCUCCAAAAAUUUGCAGACUCAGCAGAGCUCAGAUACAUUCAUGAGGAAUUAAAAAUGAAUGAUAGAGUACAGAAGACACAACAGCUGUCAGAUUUCUCCACCUAGACGUCAGAAGAGACAAACCGUCACUGUUAGAGUGACGGGAAAGAUCCCAGCAUAAAGAUUCAUGGUGGCACCAGAACAGAGGUGGGCUUUGAAUGUCAGCUGUACUUAGACAGCAGCUGUCUGAACCUGUGAGAAUCAUCAGUUUUGGCUUGGGGAGGGAAUUCCCUGAGGAUAUACCCUUGGAACCCCAAAAUGAGUCUCCCAGCACAUUCUCUGAAAACACUGCCUCACCUUCACUCAGCUUCAUCAGUAAGAGCUCUCAUCUCUAAGCACGUGUGCUGUGUUGUAUGUAAACCUCCAACCUGAUCAGGACCGCCUGCGGCUGGAAACCUCAUCUCAGGAGUCCUGAGCUGUGGCUAGAGGAGGCCUGCAGCUGCUUCUACCUUAGGAGCUGCAAGAGAGGACAGGAGUCUCCCAGCAGAGCAGCACCAUGAGCUACACCGCAGACUCACGGUGGCGGCAGCCAGAUAGAGCUGCCGGGCUGGAAGUGUAUGAUGAACAGGAGGGGCAGAUACCAACAAAUCAACACAGCAAACAGUGACAGCCAGACAAAGCUGCUUUUAAAACAUCACCUCACCUGGAUUCAUGCAACAAAUUCAGUCGAUUGCGAUGGAUUCAUUCAUUAAUUCAAUAAAUAUGGGUGUGCUUGCUAGAUGCACCCAGAAGCAAAACACCACCCACAUCUUCAUGGUGGGGGAAGCAAGUCAGUAAUUCAACCAUCAAUGGGGGCUGGAGAGACGCCAAGGCAGUUGCUCUUGCAGAGGACCAGGUUUCGUCCCCAGUACCCACACAGCAGCUAACAAUGUCUCUAACUCCAGUCCAGGAGAACAGUCGCCCUCUACAGGCACCAGGCACAAAGACAUACACUCGUGCAUAUUUUCUAAAAAAUAAAAAUAUUUCUUCUUAAUUUUUAAGUUAAAAAACACAAUUAUUGGGGGCCUACUUUAUGCCUGGCACUGGUCUAGCCGCCAGAGAUUUAGCAGUAAGCAAAAUUCAAAAACCUACUUGCACACUGUUUGGGAGAAUGGGCUGUGGGUCAGAAGAGAGAAGCAUAGAGGAGAAGGGGCUGGGGGCCAAGGAAGCUCAGGGUGGCAGGCCUUGUUCAAGUUUGGCAGUGAGCAGAAAGCAGGUGGUAAGCAGAGGGCAGAGGAUGACAGUGCAUUCCAGGGCGAAGAGCUGCUGAGCGAUGGUCAGGAGGACUGGGAAGGAGGGUGGCUCCUCGAAGUCAGCAGUGCUCUCCGGGUCAGGAGAGGCCUGGAUGGAGCUGUGAUAUCCGGGUACGUCCGAGGGCCAUAGGCUGUGUUCGUGUAAGAAAGAGGAAGUGACCAUGAAAACCACGCCAGGCUUUCUGUGGUACUGCAGAUAGAUCCAGGGCUUCCUGCACACUAGGCAAACGCUCGACCAACUGAGCUACGUCACCUGGCUGUGCUGUUUCCUCCUAGUUACUAUUACUGUUGUUAUUUUAUGUUUUCAAGAGAGGGUUUCUCUGUGGGGCUCUGGCUGUCCUGGAUCCCAUACUCUACCACCGCCUGGCUAACUCUUUUCUAACGAAGAUUUUUGUUGUGGUUUCUAGAACGCAAGCGUCUACAGGUAAGAUACAUUCUUUGGAAUGGAUUGUUUGAUAUGGAGUCUUUGAUAAUUUUGAAGUGUAAAUGGGUCCUGAGGCCAAGCUGUUUGAGAAAGGAUGUGACAGAUGUCGCCAUGCCCCAGCCGCCCACCUCCCUUUGGGGUGGGAAUCUUAAGUGGUAGGAAGGAUCGAGUGUAGCUCUCUCAGGGGAGUAAGGCACUGUUCAGAGACUUCCACACAUUGGUUGUUCUGUUACCAUCUCGAGAGAAGCCACACUAGACAGGGUAUGGGGACUCGGUCUGGCACACUCAAUUAGGUCUCAGAAUCCUCCUGACACACUCCUUGAACCAGCACUUUCUUCCUAGGCUUGAACAUGGUAGACUCCCUCCCCACCUGAAGGCAGGGGAGCCCCCCUAACAGGACUCAGAAGCACCCAGGGAAGCACACAGUUCUCUUCCGCAAGGCGGAACCUAGUCAUUCCAGAGCCACACACAAACCCUGGCGCUUCUUCUGUUCAAAUCACUUUCCAGAUUAUUUUUGUUGGAUGGCACUGGGGCUUGGUGACUAGAAAAUCAAGAAAUACAGCCCCCCCCCCAAAUUCUGCCAACAGAACCUUAGAGACCUCCUUCCCAAGGGCACCUCAGCUCUACUCUUCCUAAAUAAGGAGUGCUGUGCUAUAUGGGGAGUGACUGGCGGCCAAUCCCUUCCUGCCAUGUACUGGCAAAAGAAAUCAUCACCAUUACAAUCAUGUCUUCCAAAUAAAUCUUAACAGCUUUUCAAACUAUGGGGUCCAGAAACUGAAGGCACAUUAAAAAGGCCUUAUGCUCACCUGUGUCCCACCUGGCACCAUGACUGGCUGUCGUAGUGUUGUUCUAUUGCUGUGAAGAGGCACCAUGACCACAGAACUCAUAAAAAACAAAAGAACAUUUAAUUGGAACUUGCUUACAGUUUCAGAGGCUUAGUCCAUUGUCAUGGCAAGGGAGCAUGGUGGCACAUAGGCAGACAUGGUGCUGGAGAAGUUGGAGAAGUAGCUAAAAGUUCUACAUCCAGAUCUGCAGGCAGCAGAAGAGAGACACUAGGUAAUGGAAUUUUCCCAAGGGAAAAUCCCUCCCAGGGUCCUGGGGAAGACGCUACAUCUGGCGUAGGGUUAUCUGAGGGAAAGGAAUCUAUAUACACCAUCCUCUUUCCUCUAAGACAAAACUCUAUCUAUGCAGCUUCAGCUCCGUCCUCACAUACAGCCAGCUCCUCUCUGUACCUACUGGGCCUGCCUGCCAUAGUCCUAACUAAGCUCCUAUGCUUUCGAUCUCAUCUUCAUCCUCUGUUCCUUCAUCCUCCAUCUUUCCUUCCUUGCUCCUUACCCCUGGCUCUGAGAAACUCUGCUCCUUCUCUUCUCCCUGGCCACACAGCUCUGCCUGGGCCAGGAGUUCCACUCCAGUCUUUACUACACCUGGUUCUGCAAAAAGCCCUAUUGUCCUGAGUAAAUAGCUCUGGUUGUACUAGGCCUGAAGGCAAGGGAUGGUCUGAGCUUCAUCUGCACAAGAAACAAAGCUAUGCAUCUACAGCCUGCCUGUCUCCUAGGCUCUGCAGGGGUGUUAGUUACCUAAUGGAUCAGCAGUAAGUCUGAGAAGCUUAAUUGUUUGCCAAUGGCCUAGUAGUAUAUGGGCACACAAGAAUUUCAUAGCAGAAGGCAGCUGAUACAUAUUAAAAGCUAAAUAACACCAAAUAUUCCUUGAUAAAUGGCUUCCUCUAGAAACAUUCCUUGAUUUUUCUAGGUAUAGCUUUGAUAUACAGCUGAAUCUCUAUAAUAUGUUCUUGUGGCCCACUCCCAGUGACACACCUCCUCCAAGGUCACAACUCCUAAGCCUUCUCAAGUAGUGCCUCUCCCUGGUGACCAAGCAUCCAAAUCUAUGAGCCUAUGGGGCUAUUUUUAUUCAAACCAGCACACUGGCCCUUUCCCUGAGUCUCUCACACUGUCCACAUGAGAAGAACCUGUGUGCCCAGCUUUGUGCAGAGCACACCAUGUUAUCACUCACUGUGGACCACCUGUGGUGGCUGUACACCACAUCUGUUAGAGAGCUGGAUGUCGGGCAGCACAGGGAGGGUUGGAAGCCGAUUGCAAAGCCCCUGGGUCUCCGACGCACCCAACUGUAGAGCAUUUCCUUCAGCGUCAGAACUAGUUAUAGUUGUAGUUAGGAUGUAGCACCAAUUCUAUUAGAGCACAAACAAAAUAUUACAUUAGAACGUGUUACAACUAGUCCUUUUAGACUGGGCCUGGGCCUGGGGGGCAGCUUGGCCUAGCCCCAUGUCAUACCUCCAGCACGGCAAAAAGCUAAAGCCUGGGGAUUUGAAAACUGUCGGUAAAGUGCCUGCCACCCAAGCACAAGCUCCCCUAGGUGUGGCAGCCUAUGGCUACAUUCCCUGUGCUGGGAAACUGGAGGCAGGAGGAUCCCUGGUGCCCAGCUGGAUCAAAGAACUCCAGCUUCAAUGACAGGACCCUGUCUCAAAAAAAUAAGAUGGAGAACAAUCUAGGAAGGCACUGUGUGUGGCUUCCAUACAUGUGCACAUAUGCACACACACCUGUACCUGCAUAUAGACACACGCCUAUACAUACUCCACAACAAAAGUAAAAUCCUUCUUUUCCCUUAUUUUUUUUUAAGAUGGAAUCUUACAGUUCAGAUGAGCUUGAAUUUACAGCACUUCUGCCCUAGGCCCCUGAGUUUGGGGAUACUACUAUAAUAUAUACUAUAUUACAACUUGUUGCUGUUUUAGAAAAACUUGAAGCAACUUGAACAGCCUCAUGGAACUAUACUUAAAGCAUUCCUGGCUGGGUGUGCUGGUGCACCCCUUGAAUUCCAGCUCUCGGGAGGCAGAGGCAGGCAGACAUUUGAGUUUGAGGCCAGCCUGGUCUACAAAGCAAGUUCAGGACAGAGAGGCCCUACUUUAAAAAACAAAACACACAGGGUGGCGGUGGUGGCAGCACAGGCCUUUAAUCUCAGCACUUAGGAGGCAAAGACAGGCAGAUCUCCGAGUUUGAGGCCAGCCUGGUCUACCGAACAAGUUCCAGGACACACACAGCAAGUUCAGUUACACAGAGAAACCCUGUCUUGAAGCACCCCCCCCCCCAAAAAAAACCCAAAACAAA
Molecule: long non-coding RNA, 6224 nt
Organism: Peromyscus californicus insignis
Lineage: Eukaryota; Metazoa; Chordata; Mammalia; Rodentia; Cricetidae
Exons: 2
Source: RefSeq, a predicted model, not a curated record